Molecule: long non-coding RNA, 493 nt
Organism: Xyrauchen texanus (razorback sucker)
Lineage: Eukaryota; Metazoa; Chordata; Actinopteri; Cypriniformes; Catostomidae
Exons: 3
Source: RefSeq, a predicted model, not a curated record
UUUACAAUUAUUUUCCCGCUUAUAUUCAGCUACAUUUUUUGCUUACAAGAUAUUGUUUAUUCAGGGGACUUUUGCAGAAAAAAGUGGAAGAGCCUCAGGGACACAUAUCUGAAGGAGAAGAGGAAGGAGAUGGACAAGAGGAGUGGGUCAGCAGCAGGGUCUGGGAAGAGGUGGAAGUACUCUCAGAUCUUGGGAUUCCUCGACCCCUUCGUCACCCCACGGGAGACUAGUGGUAACAUGGAGGGGGUCGAGGCCCGGAUCAGAGAGGACAACCACCUCGAGGACCAGGGACAGCCUGGAGAAACGGCGUGGGAGACAGAGACUGAGGAAAAUGAUCAGAGGGGGAAGAGGAUAUUUUGAGAUCCCUUGCCUCUUCUCCUGUCUCCCCAGUCCCUGGUCCCUCAGCCCCUGCUGCUGAACUCACAGGCCAACAGAGGAGGAGAGCCCGACGGCGGCCCCGUGAGCGGUCCCAGGAUGGUCCGUCGGAGGUGGA